Molecule: long non-coding RNA, 611 nt
Organism: Mauremys mutica (yellowpond turtle)
Lineage: Eukaryota; Metazoa; Chordata; Testudines; Geoemydidae
Exons: 3
Source: RefSeq, a predicted model, not a curated record
CCUAGAUCCCCAAAUGUUUGCAGGUGACAGGACUGGGCUGUUCUACUGGCAUGGCCAUUCAGAAGAAGGGAGCUUUCAUGGCAGUGUUUCCAAUGGAAAGAGGGGUUUCAAAAACCAGCUCGUUUGGCUGCCCCUAGGUCAUCUUCUUGGCAACGCUGGCGUAGGAAUUUCCUCUUGGAGACCAGGACUUCCUCAGUACUGUCCUGGUCGAUUUCUUCAGGGAGCGGGUUGUUCAGGUGGAGUGUGGGAGACAGCGGGGACUCCAGCCCAGCCAUAGGAUGCCCUCUCAAAGAGCAGGAAUCCUGCACAUAGGAGUUAUCACCAAUACUCAGCACCUCUAGAUCCCUGCCGCUGCUGCUGAGAAGCAUCCGCCGCCCCACACCUCUCCUGGAGGUUCUGAAGCUCCCAUUCUGUGCACCGACAUCUCCACCUUCACGGACUGGGAACAGCUGAGACACCCUCUGGAUCCCCCUGGCUGAGUGAGCCAUUUUUCUAAUAGGUUUUGCUUCAGGAUCCAGGGAAAUGAUGGACUCAGAAUAAUAAAUAAAAAUACCCCAGGGUUCCUUACUCUCAUUCGCUUCCUUGUGGGGAUUCUUGAUGUAUGCAGAGAA